RNAcentral lists this long non-coding RNA (758 nucleotides) under Laticauda laticaudata (blue-ringed sea krait). RNAcentral describes it as "lncRNA (ENSLLTG00000017960.1)". The record is from RNAcentral. Lineage: Eukaryota; Metazoa; Chordata; Lepidosauria; Squamata; Elapidae.
AUGCUUCCCGCGUGGGCUCAGGAGCGCCUCUUUCCCACCCAGGUGACUGGCAGCGGCCCGAUGCGCCCGUCUACUUCCUGCUCGGCCUUGGCCUCCUCCUGCUCCUGCUGGCGCUGGCCUUCGCCCUCCUCAAGAGGGCGCGGAGCAGCUGCGAGGCCAGCAUCCCCACGCCGGCCGCCUUCUUCCAGCCUCUCUACCUCGCUCACCGCGGGGACUUCAAGGGCUGGGCCGGGCUGGCCCCGGAGGGAGAGCCGCCUAUGGCGAGGGCGGCGGCGGCGGCGGCGGUUUCUCGGCUCUCCUUCCUGCAGCCGCCCAGCUGCGACGGGUCGGGGCCAGCCAAGCGCCGCGCCUCCCCGCCGGGCCAAGAGCCCGAGCGCCCGCCCGGCGACUACUGCACCCUCGGCGGGGCGGGCGAAGGGGCGGCCCCCCUGCCCUCCGACUGGCCGCCGCCUCCCGGCGCCCGCUCGAGACCUCCGCCCGGCUGGCUUCCCGUCCGCGGCCAAGGCCGAGCCCAGGAGCCGCCCGGCGGCCCCGCCGCUCUGGGAGGGCCGCUCCGGGACUGCGGCUCGGGCGGGGAGGCGCGGCCGAUGCGGCCUCUCUUCGUCUGAGGCUGCCGAGAAACGGGAAGCGCGGCGUUGGCAAAGCCGGUCCGUGACGGUCAAUGGAAGGCGACGUUGGCCCCGAUGCAUCGCUUGCCUUUAUAAAAUAAAUAAAAUAAAUGUUGCAUCCGUUGGUUUUUGGACGUGUGUGUGUGUGUG